Molecule: long non-coding RNA, 1258 nt
Organism: Mercenaria mercenaria
Lineage: Eukaryota; Metazoa; Mollusca; Bivalvia; Venerida; Veneridae
Exons: 2
Source: RefSeq, a predicted model, not a curated record
UUUUAUUUCUUUCAGGUUCAAGGCCUGCCAGGAACAGGCAGGAUUUUCUCUCUUUCAGAUUUCCUUUGAAUGUUUGCCUUCUGUUACCAGGACAGGCCAUAUUGUCAGAUUUGUUUUUCAUGUAGCUCACUUCUGCAGUAUUAAAUUCUUGCCUUAUUAAUUAAUAAGUAACCUUUUUAACAUAAAAUAAUUUCAAGUUCAGUUUUUCCUGUUUUGGCUUUUCUCUUAUUACAAGCUUGGGAGUCAGAGACGGUGUAUUCCCAUGGAAAUGUGAAAUAGUGCCAGUCCUUUAGUAGGGACAUUGAGGGAGCCAAACACAGUGCAAGUCCUUCUGUAUGUUCCCUGCCUUCAAUCUUCUAGACCUCUACUGCCGGUGUCUUCUGUUCUUGUGUCCCUUGCUUGAAGCUGCUUUCCAUGGAAUUUUUUCACGAAGUCAUUGACUGUCGACAUGGCAUGAAGACUAAAUGCACUGAUCAAACCAAGUUUCUCGCCGUUUUCUGGCAGCCAAUGGAAGGGCCGAGGAUACCAGUGCGCGUCAAGUGUUGAAUUUUCCACAAAAUGGCACAGAUUCCGAGCAUUGUUUCUCUCUGGUCAGAAAAAAAGAUCAGAGAAAUAACUUAUCAAUGAUAUAUUCCUGUUAGUAAUAAUUGAUCGCAGACUGAAUGCUACGUUGGGUCGACUGGGAAGCUGGAAAAAUACAAAGAUAAAGAUAAUUUAUUAAACUUACUGAACAUGACAUUAGAGAAUGUUCAGUUGUGAAAGUGAAAAAGGCAUUAAAAAUAUUAAGAUCAAGUGCAAAUUUGAUGGUUCAUUAUUGACCUUAACACUUACUGAAUGUAACAUUAAAGGAUGUUCAAGUGUGACAGUGAAAUAGACAUUAAACAUUAAAGAUCAAGUUGUGGUUUAAGACAGAAUACUGAAAAGAUCAACACCAGCAUGUUAACAAUAAUGUUACAAUUUAUUUUAUGGUAUUAAGAACCCUAGCAUUAAUACAAAUUUUGAUGUUGUACUUGACAACGUUCUCCAUGUUUUAUUUGCUCCAUCACACUCGCACGAGAUAUUAUAGUUGACAAGAUCCUUGUUAGUUAGCUUUCAGUGUCUUCUAACAAUUUUGGCAUAAACACUGCUGUAACAUCAGUUAGUUGAUCAAUGGUCAAUGACAAAAUAACACCAGUUGGCUCAUUUUCGACUCUGUAUGUACGCUCACAACCAAGGCACUCAAAACCAAGGCAGUCUUUGUAUUAAAAUUUUAAGUGUU